RNAcentral lists this unclassified non-coding RNA (235 nucleotides) under Hevea brasiliensis (rubber tree). Lineage: Eukaryota; Viridiplantae; Streptophyta; Magnoliopsida; Malpighiales; Euphorbiaceae. The record is from RNAcentral.
AACUGAGAGGUCUAAGGACUCAAGUUGUGCCAAUUUGCCUAAAAAUGGCGGAAUUCGGCCAGUGAGAGCAUUGUGUGACAAGUUGAGAGUAUAGAGCGCACUGAAUUGGCCAAUAACGUCUGGUAUUGGUCCUACAAAAUGGUUGUAAGAGAAGUCAAUGGACGUAAAAAUAGUUAGGAUCUUCACCAGCUCCAUCUGCUGACCUUUGGUCGUAACUGUUAUUGAAUCUUGAUAA